RNAcentral lists this long non-coding RNA (356 nucleotides) under Mytilus galloprovincialis (Mediterranean mussel). Lineage: Eukaryota; Metazoa; Mollusca; Bivalvia; Mytilida; Mytilidae. The record is from RNAcentral.
CAACAUCCCCACCCCUAAACUAUAUAUAUUCUUGUAGGGGACAAUAAAACUAAUCACAUGAAAUUAAAUGGAAGUUCCUGGGGGUCACCCCCACCCCGUUCAAUUUGAGAAUGUGCUAUUAUCUUGUAAACGGUCCAGAUCCCCACCCUUAAACCAUAUAUAUUCUUGUAGGGGACAAUAAAACAAAUCAAAUGAAAUGUAGGUAACUUCCCUGGGGGUCACCAACAACCCCUCCUGUUUGAAUACUUGUAAAUGGUGGAGAUCCCUACUCGUAAGCCAUAUAUAUUCUUGUAUGGGACAAAAAAUCAAAUCAAAUGAACAUAUGAAUGGCGAGUUAUGGGAGCUUUGUUUGGGAG